CAAUAGCGUAUAUUAAAGUUGUUGCAGUUAAAAAGCUCGUAGUUGGAUUUCUGGUAGGAGCGACCGUGCCGAACUUGAUUGUUCGAGUAUUGUGUUGUCUUCAGCCAUCCUCGUGGAGAACUUUUCUAACAUUAACGUGUUGGGAUUGGGACCCGCGUCGUUUACUGUGAAAAAAUUAGAGUGUUUAAAGCAGGCAUUAGCUUGAAUACAUUAGCAUGGAAUAAUAAGAUAGGACUUUGGUACUAUUUUGUUGGUUUGCAUACCAAAUUAAUGAUCAACAGGAACAGUUUGAGGAUAUUCGUAUGAACAUGUCAGAGGUGAAAUUCUUGGAUUUUGAUCAGACGAACUACUGCGAAAGCAUUUAUCAAGGAUGUUUUCAUUAA
RNAcentral lists this ribosomal RNA (383 nucleotides) under uncultured eukaryote. RNAcentral describes it as "partial 18S ribosomal RNA". It matches the Rfam family "Eukaryotic small subunit ribosomal RNA", at positions 592 to 976 of the family's 1831-position model. The record is from RNAcentral.